RNAcentral lists this ribosomal RNA (253 nucleotides) under uncultured bacterium. RNAcentral describes it as "partial 16S ribosomal RNA". It matches the Rfam family "Bacterial small subunit ribosomal RNA", at positions 524 to 776 of the family's 1533-position model. The record is from RNAcentral.
UACGGAGGGUGCGAGCGUUAAUCGGAAUUACUGGGCGUAAAGCGUGCGUAGGCGGAUGAUUAAGCGAGAUGUGAAAUCCCGGGGCUCAACCUCGGAACUGCAUUUCGAACUGGUCGUCUAGAGUAUUGUAGAGGGUGGUGGAAUUUCCAGUGUAGCGGUGAAAUGCGUAGAGAUUGGAAGGAACAUCAGUGGCGAAGGCGGCCACCUGGACAAAUACUGACGCUGAGGCACGAAAGCUAGGGGAGCAAAUGGG